GCCGGAGGACGAACUACAAGGCCACACAGGCCGAGAAAAAAGCUGCGAGGCUGAGAGCGGAAAAGGAGCAGCCCUAAGCAA
RNAcentral lists this non-coding RNA (81 nucleotides) under Ctenophora environmental sample. The record is from RNAcentral. Lineage: Eukaryota; Metazoa; Ctenophora.